Molecule: ribosomal RNA, 253 nt
Filed under: uncultured bacterium
Lineage: Bacteria
Description: partial 16S ribosomal RNA
Rfam family: Bacterial small subunit ribosomal RNA
Source: RNAcentral
UACGGGGGGGGCAAGCGUUGUUCGGAAUUACUGGGCGUAAAGGGCUCGUAGGCGGCCAACUAAGUCAGACGUGAAAUCCCUCGGCUUAACCGGGGAACUGCGUUUGAAACUGGGAGACUUGAGUGUGGCAGAGGGGGGUGGAAUUCCACGUGUAGCAGUGAAAUGCGUAGAUAUGUGGAGGAACACCGAUGGCGAAGGCAGCCCCCUGGGUUAACACUGACGCUCAUGCACGAAAGCGUGGGGAGCAAACAGG